RNAcentral lists this ribosomal RNA (212 nucleotides) under Chloropicon mariensis. RNAcentral's name for it is "partial Bacterial large subunit ribosomal RNA". It matches the Rfam family "Bacterial large subunit ribosomal RNA", at positions 1228 to 1438 of the family's 2925-position model. Lineage: Eukaryota; Viridiplantae; Chlorophyta; Chloropicophyceae; Chloropicales; Chloropicaceae. The record is from RNAcentral.
GUAGCGGAGCGUUCCGUAAGCCUGCGAAGGUGCACUGCGAGGUGUGCUGGAGGUAUCGGAAGUGAGAAUGCUGACAUGAGUAGCGACAAAGCGGGUGAGAGACCCGCUCGCCGAAAAUCCAAGGGUUCCUGCGUAAAGCUAAUCUGCGCAGGGUUAGCCGGCCCCUAAGGCGAGGCCGAAAGGCGUAGCCGAUGGGAACCACGUUAAUAUUC